Molecule: ribosomal RNA, 169 nt
Filed under: uncultured archaeon
Lineage: Archaea
Description: partial 16S ribosomal RNA
Rfam family: Bacterial small subunit ribosomal RNA
Source: RNAcentral
CCUACGGGAGGCAGCAGCCGGGAAUCUUCCGCAAUGGGGGAAACCCUGACGGAGCGACGCCGCGUGAGGGAAGAAGCCCUUCGGGGUGUAAACCUCUUUUCCUGGGGAAGAAGCUGACGGUACCCAGGGAAUAAGCCCCGGCUAACUACGUGCCAGCAGCCGCGGUAAU